RNAcentral lists this microRNA precursor (270 nucleotides) under Malus domestica (apple). RNAcentral describes it as "miR10987 stem-loop (mdm-MIR10987)". The record is from miRBase by way of RNAcentral. Lineage: Eukaryota; Viridiplantae; Streptophyta; Magnoliopsida; Rosales; Rosaceae.
UCUCAUCRUCGUAYGUGGUUGUACUGCUCGUCGUUGUCGUCAUCCUUGUCAGUAUAUGGAGGGAAAUAUGGUGGAAGUGGUGGAUGAGUCUGUGCCUAUUGAUGGAGCUUUUUUCCGCCACGAUAUUUCCUCUUGAUUCAUUUACAACCACCCAGCCCUUUGAGUUUUGUUCUUGCACCAUAUUGCUCUCCAUUCUUCCACCAUAUGUCCCUCCAUAUACUGAUGAUGACAACGAGGAGCAGUACGGCUACGUAUGGCUACGUAUGACAA